CCUACGGGUGGCUGCAGUGGGGAAUAUUGGACAAUGGGGGGAACCCUGAUCCAGCGACGCCGCGUGAGUGAAGAAGUAUUUCGGUAUGUAAAGCUCUAUCAGCAGGGAAGAAAAUGACGGUACCUGACUAAGAAGCCCCGGCUAACUACGUGCCAGCAGCCGCGGUAAUACGUAGGGGGCAAGCGUUAUCCGGAUUUACUGGGUGUAAAGGGAGCGUAGACGGCGCUGCAAGUCUGAAGUGAAAGGCAGGGGCUUAACCCCUGAACUGCUUUGGAAACUGCCAUGCUAGAGUGCUGGAGAGGGAAGUGGAAUUCCUAGUGGAGCGGUGAAAUGCGUAGAUAUUAGGAGGAACACCAGGGGCGAAGGCGGCUUACUGGACAGUAACUGACGGUGAGGCUCGAAAGCGGGGGGAGCAAACAGGAUUAGAUACCCGAGUAGUC
RNAcentral lists this ribosomal RNA (440 nucleotides) under uncultured bacterium. RNAcentral describes it as "partial 16S ribosomal RNA". It matches the Rfam family "Bacterial small subunit ribosomal RNA", at positions 338 to 795 of the family's 1533-position model. The record is from RNAcentral.